AGCAGAGCUUUCUUUUGUCAACUGUGAUUUUGCCCUUGAGUUUGCUCGUCCCCUGUUUCCCAACACAGUCUAUGUGGGAGGCUUAAUGGACAAACCUGCCAGGCCAAUACCUCAAGCAACAGGAAGUGAACUGUGACACUGGGCAUAGCUUGGGCAUAGGAGAUGUCAAUGCUCACUCCCAUAGUGGCACACUUCCUCCAACAAGGUAAUACUUAUUCCAAUAAGGUCAUACCUUCUAAUAGUGCCACUACCUUUGGGGAAUAUUUUCUUUCAAAUCACCGUAGGUCAGAAUUGUUUCUUGGUAGAGAUGUCCUAAAAGGAUGUACUCUAAGGCAAGACAGACACUCUGAGAGUACAUUUUAAGGGUUGCCAAUGUAGAGUGUUAAAAUACCACAUGCUAAGUUUGAGGAUCUUGGUACAAAGUUUGCAUUUUUUUUUUUGUAUCUCUGUAGGCCUGGGUUUGCUGGAAUAACUCCGGUAGCUAGUCUUGAUAUUUCCAUAUUAAUUUUGAGCUAUAUAUAAAAUAAAUACAGUGAAAGUCCAUACAUUUAGUAUUUGUUAAGGAGACAGGUUCUUCAUAAUGAAACAGAAAACACUUUCAGAAGGCAUGUAUGUGGACUGUAGCAGUGACAGGAGGAACUGAUUCUGUUGUUCUGUUGAGACUGUUCAGCCUUUUGUACUGCAUCAAGCUACCAUAAACCAUCAAAGCUGUCAUGUAGUUUGCAUGUUCAAUGCAGGCUCAGAAUCACUACCACUGAAAACCUAAAAGUGCAGAGAGCUAAGAAUAUUUGAUUGCUUGUUAUCUGUUACUGUGGGAUUCCCUGUCCCAUGCUGGGAGGAAUAAUCACCUUUGGUUUCGUACAGUGUUGUCCUAGAUGUUGAGGUGAUGAAGGUGAUGUCUCUCCUGCUUUCAACUCAAAGCAGAGAUAUAGAAUUCCUCUAGCUCUCUUUGGUACCAAACUGCCUACAUGUCCUUGAGGUGGGUGAGAAGAAUGUUUGGGAAGUGAUCUGUGAGUGAUACAUAUAUAUUCUUCUUGGAAGGAGGUUUCUGAUAUGCAUUUUGGAUAGAAUUUUCUGAAAACCCAAAUUUGUGGGGAUGGGUGUACUGUAUAUAGAUUUGGAAGUAAGACAGUCAUCAUCUGGGUUCCCUGAUUGAAUCCUGAAGUAGUAGAAGAUUAAUUUAUAUUCAUAAAUUUAGAUAUGAUUUGCAGAGACUUCACCUUCUAUACAGGAAGUUCAGAUAUUGGCACACAGAGAUGAAAUAGAGUAUGGUUAAAGUAAAGAGUGAGAACAAAUGUUUUGAAGUAAAUCCUUACUAAAGAGUCUGAAAUCUA
Non-coding RNA from Myodes glareolus (Bank vole), 1334 nucleotides. The record is from RefSeq and is a predicted model, not a curated record. NCBI's taxonomy places the organism in Eukaryota, Metazoa, Chordata, Mammalia, Rodentia, Cricetidae.